RNAcentral lists this ribosomal RNA (778 nucleotides) under uncultured bacterium. Its description in RNAcentral is "bacterial SSU rRNA". It matches the Rfam family "Bacterial small subunit ribosomal RNA", at positions 8 to 796 of the family's 1533-position model. The record is from RNAcentral.
AGAGUUUGAUCAUGGCUCAGGAUGAACGCUGGCGGCGUGCCUAACACAUGCAAGUCGAACGAACCUUUUCUGGAUUCUUCGGAUGACGGGAGGGGUUAGUGGCGAAUGGGUGAGUAACACGUAGGUGACCUACCCCGACGAGGGGAAUAUCCACUGGAAACGGUGGUUAAUACCCCAUGUGAUCGGCGAUUCGAUUCGCUGAUGAAAGCUUCGGUGCGUUGGGAGGGGCCUGCGGCCCAUCAGGUAGUUGGUAGGGUAAAGGCCUACCAAGCCGAUGACGGGUAGCUGGUCUGAGAGGAUGGUCAGCCACACUGGAACUGAAACACGGUCCAGACUCCUACGGGAGGCAGCAGUGAGGAAUAUUGCGCAAUGGACGGAAGUCUGACGCAGCAACGCCGCGUGGGCGAUGAAGGCCUUCGGGUCGUAAAGCCCUUUUCUGGGGGACGAGGAAGGACGGUACCUCAGGAAUCAGUCUCGGCUAACUACGUGCCAGCAGCCGCGGUAAAACGUAGGAGGCAAGCGUUAUCCGGAUUUAUUGGGCGUAAAGCGCAUGCAGGUGGUUCCACAAGUCGGAUGUGAAAGCUCCUGGCUUAACUGGGAGAGGUCGUUCGAAACUGUGGGACUGGAGGUCGGAAGAGGGAAGCGGAAUUCCCGGUGUAGUGGUGGAAUGCGUAGAUAUCGGGAGGAACACCAGUGGCGAAAGCGGCUUCCUGGUCCGCACCUGACACUCAGAUGCGAAAGCGUGGGGAGCGAACAGGAUUAGAUACCCUAGUAGUCC